RNAcentral lists this non-coding RNA (158 nucleotides) under Struthio camelus australis. Its description in RNAcentral is "Eukaryotic large subunit ribosomal RNA". It matches the Rfam family "Eukaryotic large subunit ribosomal RNA", at positions 2825 to 2984 of the family's 3401-position model. The record is from Rfam by way of RNAcentral. Lineage: Eukaryota; Metazoa; Chordata; Aves; Struthioniformes; Struthionidae.
GAAAACUGGCUUGUGGCAGCCAAGUGUUAAGGGAUGUUGCUUUUUGAUCCUUUGAGGUCGGCUGUUGCUAUCACGGUGAAGCAGAAUUCACCAAGCAUUGGACUGUUCGCCUACUGAUGGGGAACAUAAGCUGAGUUUAGACUGUCAUGAGAUGGGUU